UUACAACUUUCAACAACGGAUCUCUUGGUUCUGGCAUCGAUGAAGAACGCAGCGAAAUGCGAUAAGUAGUGUGAAUUGCAGAAUUCAGUGAAUCAUCGAAUCUUUGAACGCACAUUGCGCCCCUUGGUAUUCCAUGGGGCAUGCCUGUUCGAGCGUCAU
This 159-nucleotide ribosomal RNA is filed under the name Epicoccum nigrum. RNAcentral's name for it is "5.8S ribosomal RNA". It matches the Rfam family "5.8S ribosomal RNA". Rfam says of the family: 5.8S ribosomal RNA (5.8S rRNA) is a component of the large subunit of the eukaryotic ribosome. RNAcentral also lists the same sequence under 4 other names. Lineage: Eukaryota; Fungi; Ascomycota; Dothideomycetes; Pleosporales; Didymellaceae. The record is from RNAcentral.